GGGAAAGUUAACUUUAAAAUGUGUAUAAAAUAUAAAUACGUAACUUUCUUCCAUUUUUUCUGAUAAAUCACAAGCAAUCUGCAGACAAUAGAACAUAGUAGGGUAGCGUGCUCAGCAUGAUUUAGACAAGCAUUCAAAUGACACGUCUAAUCGAGUAAUUUAGGCUCCAACUAAACAGCAACACCUUGGGGAAAAAAAAUAAUGCAUGGUGAGGUUUUUUACAAAUGCAAUCAGUGAAAGCUUGGCAUCUCUACCCAUGUUUUGAUGGCACAGGAACGGGGCCUCUGGGCCAAGUUCCUUGCUGGCGUGUGUGGGUGUAGCCCCACUGUCGUCAAUGCUUUACCAGUGCUGAAUGCAACUGUGGGAGCGCGAGCAGGUAAACAGGCUCACGUACUGCAGUCACCUGGCACGUGACACUGUGCUGACAGCAGGCAGAGCGCUCGUCCCCCUCCAACACGGUUCUCAUGGUAAAGAACGUAACUCUUCUUAAUUUCUACCUUCAGCUAUGUUCUGUGACAUGGUCCAGCCACAUGUCAGUAUGGCAACUGUGCGACAGCUCGCAGGGGUCUGAAGACAGGGAUAGCGCAACUCUCCUGAAAUUGCCUUACUGCAGCACUCCGAGAACAUAAUUAAAGAGCAGAAUAAAGGAAAUGAAUGCAGAUCAGAAGAGAGGGAAUCAUCUGGCUCACUGAAUAGAAAACGCAGGUCCAAGGCAAGCUCAGCAGUAACUGCUGAAACACUCUCCUAGUCUCUCAACAGCGAGGUAAGCACCUGGCCAGAGCAAACAGCCAGAGCAAACUCAGUCUGGACAGGGGAAUACUGCUAGCAGGUACAGGCCUGCCCCAGCUCUGUACAGACCUAAACCCAGCCUAAAUUAUUUUCUUAACAAUUAAACCUAUUAAAAACACCCGCAUGCAUGUUCUUAUCUAAGUUUAUUAAGCCAUCUCAGAAUUAAAACGUGUCUACAGAUGAUCCUGCUGAA
Numida meleagris (helmeted guineafowl) is the source of this 982-nucleotide long non-coding RNA. RefSeq lists it as uncharacterized. The transcript has 2 exons. NCBI's taxonomy places the organism in Eukaryota, Metazoa, Chordata, Aves, Galliformes, Numididae. The record is from RefSeq and is a predicted model, not a curated record.